Long non-coding RNA from Mangifera indica (mango), 1018 nucleotides. RefSeq lists it as uncharacterized. The record is from RefSeq and is a predicted model, not a curated record. Lineage: Eukaryota; Viridiplantae; Streptophyta; Magnoliopsida; Sapindales; Anacardiaceae. The transcript is spliced from 2 exons.
GCAGCGGCUUACAAUUAAGAGCUCUUCAGCCCAGGGAAGUAAUGUUUGACAUCUUUGAAGGACAAUAAGAGUAGCAUCCCAACUCUGCAGAACCACUUGGUUCAGAUAUAGAUCGAAGCGCUCACAGAGAUUGCCACAGCAGUGUUCUUCUGUCAUUUCAAGAAAUUCUGCUGCACAUCUCAGGGCUGCUACAUUGAAAGGGUCAAUCAACGUGGAUGAACCAUAGAUGAAUAAUGCAAUCAUCUCAAAAGUCUCUGGCCCUCCAGGAAAAUUUUGAGGUUGAAAGUUCUGUUGCCAACUCGAAUCGUAUAGAAACAGGCAAACCAGUCUCUUGGCUCCUGAGACAAAGAUUCAUUAAACAUUAUUUUGAAGAAUUGAAAGCUAUUCAAGCCAUAACCAUAAAACAAUAAUCUUACCAUGAAACUAUCUUAAUCUUUAGCAGGGCACUGAUGUUGGGUGAAGAAAAGGGACUUGAGGCCACUGAUGAACUAUCUUUUGAGCUAACAGCUUCCAUUACAAAAGCUCAUGAAAGUGUUCUAAAAAGAAGAAAUUACUCAAAGUGAAACAGUAGCAAUUAAUCAGAGUUGAUUAUCCUGCAAGUAUAGAAUUGCUUCUCAUUUGGUUCCCUUCUUAAAUGAGAUUAAAUGGUAGGAACUCAUCCCAAGAAUUUAUAAUAUGGGUUUAUUAGAGAUUAUAGAAUCCAGAAAACAAGUGGGAAUGAAAGAGAAAAAAGAGGUAGUUUAGUGAGUCUGUGUAAAUAUAAUACACGGGCAUGAAGUUCAUAUUUUCUAGUCAAAGUCAAAUGCACACGGGUGUUAUAUCCAAAAUCCAACUUUCAAGCCUUCGAAAACGUUCCUCGAGUUCUGAGAAGUUGAUUUCUUGCUCCAAUGGCCCAAUGCCAAUACUACUGCCACUACUCGGGCACUGGAUUAUAUGACAUUGAAAGAUUGAUGAACUCUACUUAUUUGAACACAUAUGACAUUUAUUAUUAUUAUUAUAAAUUAUGGUAAUUUGUUAU